CUGCAUGUGGAGAUGUCUGCUUGACCUUUGGGAGCAGGAAUGCGCCCACAACCUGCUACAUGAACAAAGGAGUUCUCAGGGCCGCCAGCCGUGCAGUAGAGGUUGAGUGGUAGUGUAGUCCGUCCUCCUACAUGA
This is a small nucleolar RNA of Oryctolagus cuniculus (rabbit), 135 nucleotides long. Ensembl annotates it as small Cajal body-specific RNA 18. Lineage: Eukaryota; Metazoa; Chordata; Mammalia; Lagomorpha; Leporidae. The record is from Ensembl.